GACGAACGCUGGCGGCGUGCUUAACACAUGCAAGUCGAACGGAAAGGCCCGGCUUUUGCUGCGCGCUCGAUUGGCGAACGGGUGAGUAACACGCGAGUAAACUGCCCUUGACUGUGGGGUAACACCUGGAGACUGCGGCUAAUAUCGCAUAGAAUCUCUUGCUGCACGUUGGUGGAUGGAAAGUGUCGGCGGUGGUGGAUGGACUCGCGGCUUAUCAGCUUGUUUGGGGGGUAGUGGCUUACCAAGGCUUUGACGGGUAGCCGGCCUGAGAGGGUGACCGGCCACAUGGGGACUGAGAUACGGCCCAGAAGCGAACGGGAGGCAGUGGUGGGGAGUAUUGCGGAACGGGCGGAAGCCUGAUGCAGCAAUGCCGCGUGCGGGAUGCCGGCCUUCGAGUUGUAAACCGCUUUCGCCUGUGACGAAGCGUGCGUGACGGUAAUGGGUAAAGAAGCACCGGCUAACUACGUG
Molecule: ribosomal RNA, 468 nt
Filed under: uncultured bacterium
Lineage: Bacteria
Description: partial 16S ribosomal RNA
Rfam family: Bacterial small subunit ribosomal RNA
Source: RNAcentral